RNAcentral lists this unclassified non-coding RNA (252 nucleotides) under plant metagenome. RNAcentral describes it as "partial contains small subunit ribosomal RNA, internal transcribed spacer 1, and 5.8S ribosomal RNA". The record is from RNAcentral.
UUUCCGUAGGUGAACCUGCGGAAGGAUCAUUAAUGCUUCUCCAGUAUCAACCAAAUUGUGAAACAAGUUUCCGUCUUCAACGACAGAAGAAGGCCUCAGCAAUGGGGUCUUCUUGUUGAGGAUUGGUUUUCAUCUUCUAUUUUUAACCCCAAGUAAACAAUUCUGAACUGAAAAAAUCUUUGUGACUGAAAAGUUGCAAAGCAAGAAAACGAAAUUAAGAAACAACUCUUAACAACGGAUAUCUUGGCUCUC